CCUCAUUAGCUAGCUAAGGUUCAAUACCUGCCACCCACGACUUAAAGGAGGAAAGAUUUCUUUGGCUCACAAUUUCCAGUGGAUUCAGUCCAGAGGUGGCAGACUUUAGGGCAGAAACACAUGGUGGAAGGAAGGUGGCAGCCAGCGAGAAGCAGAGCGAGAAGGAAAGGGCUAGGGGCGGAGAAGACACCCUUCCGGGUCCUAUCCCCAGCCCGGCCCCUUCUGGCCACACCUCACCUUUGCAGUGAGACCUCUGGGGGGUGUCUCGCAGCUGAGCCAUAGCUCCCCUUUUCUGGAUGGUUCCCUGAAUGAUUCUGAUUGUUACCUGAGAUCCUCACCCUGGCCAGGUGUUUCUUACUAAGACUCUGGCCUUGAACAGCUGCAGACCAAGGGUCUGAAGCCAGAAGCCCCCAGCAGCCCUGGCACUCUAUUCCAAAGUUCAGGAUGCACUGAAGAAGGCCAAGAGCUUCUGUGAGUCUCAGGAAUUACAGUUUAUUCAGAGGCUGACUGUGCAGCUGCUGAUUGGAGUACAAAGAGCAGUAAUCAAGGCCAGGGAAACCACGUGAGGUCUCAGCUGCAGCGAAGAACGUGUAUCCUGACGAUGUUACCCAGGACUGGACAACGACCCAGGGCAGGUCCAUGGGCUCACCGGAUAGGUGGUAGGAUAUGACUCCACUGUAAGUUUAGGAACAUCUUCCCUGGCAAAUAGGAGCCCUACAUUUCUACUUCUGGAAGUAACAGCCAAGACCCUCCCAGAGGACUCAGCUCCUGCAGAACAACCACAAAAUCUGAACAGGACACAGAAGCAACUACCCGCAGCGCUGGGGAACAGCAGGGGCAGAUGGCUUUGCAGAGGUGGCGAACCUGUGUAAGACCGAGGGCCUUACCAAACGCUCUGAGGAGCUGACUGCAGGGAAGAACACCUGGGAAGGAACACACCGGACAAGUUGGAAAGUAAAACAGACCUUAGUCUGGCCAGACUGCACUCCCAAAGCAAAGUAGCUUAGAGAGGCGACUAGCCCAGAGUCCAAGGCUCUUUUUUGCAGGGGAAGUUAACAGGCGAAAUUUACAGAAGAGGAACAAAGGUUAGUGGUCAGCUGACACGUACUGAUGGUCAGCAGAUGUUUGUAGAUUGUUCUAUAGAUAGCGGUGUCCGGAACAUCAGUUUCGAACAAAGAGUUGAGUAAUUUACUUUGGGACCUUAUGGCUGAUACAGAUCUUAUCUAGUGUCCUGGAACUAACAAGCAUCUUUAUCUAUUUACUCACAUUUACAGUUGGGGCUAGGGGAGUUUUAUGAUUACAGAGUUAUGCAGUCCCCCACCUGUGGCACGCAUGCCACAGUGGGCCAUGUGUUAUUACCAAAAGCUCUAAAAGGUUCACCAUCACUGGCUCCUAGUGAAGACCGUGAGCUGUCGGGAGGGAGAGGAGGGUCACAACUCAGUCAGUCCCCAUGCCCAGGUCUUAGCUGGAGGCCAAGAGAAGCCUGCACUCGGUGCACACGGCAAUACCAGGGACAGACACGAAAAACACCUGCAGCCUGAUUUUUUCUGAAAAAUCAGAAAAGUGGACACUUAAAAGAGAAAGAGACGCUUACAAGGGGAAAAGAGAGAAGAUCCCAACUCAGCCUUCCCACGUCUCUGACUGAACCCUGACCCAAGUACCAUGGAGCAGACACAAAAUGGCUCAGCUGAAGACAGCAGCAACCACAGAAAUUCCAAACCGAGACUUCCAUCCAAGAAAAAGAGUGUGCGUUCAGGUCGAGCGGAGACUGAUAUCUGCUAACACAGAGGAAAAAGACUCCUUAGAGAAAAGAAAAAUCCAGAAUCUCCACAAACUAACUUUCAUAAUACUCAGGACACAAUCCAAAAUUACACGAUAUGGAAAAAAAAAAACUAGGAAACAUUCUUAACAGAAAAAAAUUCAACCAAGCCCAACCUUAUAAUGAACCAGAUGUUGGACCUAACAGAAAAGGAUUUUGAAUUUGCUCUUCUAACUCCCCUCAGGGAAAGAGCACAACCAUGAUUUCAAGGACUACAAACACCAGCAGAGAAAUGAAAGUCUGAACAAGGAAACAGAAACAGCAAAGAGGAAACAAAUAGAAACAAAGAACCAAACUUAAAAAAAUACAAUUUCGUAAAUAAGAAUUCACUUACUAGACUAAAAACUGAAUGACUGUGAUGGAUGAAAGAAUAAGAAAACGUGAAGAUCGAUCCACAGAAAUACACUAGGUGAAGAGGGGAGCAGAGAGGGAGAGGGAGGGGCAAGGACUGGAAAGAACCAGACCCUUAGUGAGCUGUGAGAUGACAUCAAAUGGUAAGUUAUAUGUGUAACUGGAACACCAGAAUAAGAGGGGAGAAAGAACAGAAAAGAAACGCUUGAAGGAAUAACAACUGAAAGUUUCCCAAAUUGGUCGAAAGACCAAAAGCUGCAGAUACGAGACAUAUUUCACAGAAGGAGGCCAACGUCAAGGCACAUCUGCUGGAAGCCGCUGUGGUCCAAGUGUGUCCCGAACAGGCUUUCUGUUGGAAAUGCAUUUGCCAGUGUGAUUAUGUUAAGAGGUGCAGCCUUUAGGAGGUGAUUCAGUCACGAAGGUGAAGCCCUCAGGGAUGACAUGAGGACCCUUACAAGAGUCCACUGGGUUUGUCCCCAUCGAUCUCUUCUGCCCUGUGACAACACAGUGUUUGCCACCUUUAUCAUUCUGUCUUCUACCAGGUAGGGGAACAGCAACAAGAUGCCUCCUGGAAGCAAGGAACAGACGCACAUGCCCCAAACCUGUACCUUGAUACAGAAGAACAACAAUCCAGUGUCAGCUGACUUUUCUCUAAAAACCAAGGAAAGCCAAAGAGAGUACAGCAACAUUUUUACAGUCCUGAAAUCAAAACAACAUCAAAAACAAAAAACCACCUGUCAACUCAGAGAAACUAUCACUUAAGAAUAAAUGUGUGGGCUGGUGUUCAGCUCAGUGACACAGCAAGUGCUUAGCACGUAUGGAGCCCUGGGUUCAAUUCCCAGUAACCCCACCUCCAAAGGCAAAAUAGAGAGAGACGUUUCAUUUAAAAGAAAAUUUAGAGGAUUGUUCACCAGCAAAUUGCCACUCUAAGAAAUGCUAAAAGAAAUUUCUUCAGAGGAAAAUUGAUACCAGUCAGAAUUCCAAGAUUUUCAGAAAACAAUGAAAAACAGGAAUGUAAAUACUUCGAUCAAUGCAAAAGAAGUUAUUUUGCCUUUUUCCCUUUACCUUUGUUUUCAUAAACAAUAACUGUUCAAAAAUUGUAAUAUGGUCUUUGUGGGUAUAAACCAACAGAAUUGUGACAUGCUGGUAUGCUCAUCAGACAGACCACAUUUGCUGGCCAUAAAACCCACCUCAAUACAUUUGAAAAGUUUGAAGUCCUGUAGGCCAAGUGCUCUGACCACAGAGGGAUUAAAUUAGAAACCAGUUACAAAGAGAAAACCAGGAAGAUUCCAAAUAUUUGGAAUUUAGUACACUUCUAAAUAAUUAUUGGGCCAAAGAGGAUUCCCAGGAAGUAUUAGAAAAUAUGUUAUUUAUAUAUAAAUAUGGUAAUGAAAAUAUACAUGUCAAAAUUUGUGGGAUAUAGACAAGGCAGAGCGUACAGGGGAAUUUAUAACUUUAAAUGUUUAUGUAGGAAAAGGAAGGUCUAAAAGUCAACCUAACCCCAAAGCCUAAAAUAGUACAAGAUAGCAUAAAAAGAAAUGGAAGUUAUACACAAAGCAAACAAAAAGAAGGAAAGAACUGAACAGAAAUCAAUAAAAUAGAAAAACAAUAACCGUGAAAGCUCUUUUUAUGUUUCUUUUUGGACCCGAAUUGAAUCUAAGGCGUCACACAUGCUAGGCAAGCUCUACCACUGAGCUACACCCCCAGGCUUUUUAUCUUGAGAUAGGAUCUCUCUAAAUUGCCCAGGCUGGCCUUGAACUUGCUGCACUGCACUGCUCCUGAGGAGCUGGGAC
Molecule: long non-coding RNA, 3963 nt
Filed under: Heterocephalus glaber (naked mole-rat)
Lineage: Eukaryota; Metazoa; Chordata; Mammalia; Rodentia; Bathyergidae
Description: lncRNA (ENSHGLG00100040578.1)
Source: RNAcentral